RNAcentral lists this ribosomal RNA (549 nucleotides) under uncultured bacterium. Its description in RNAcentral is "partial 16S ribosomal RNA". It matches the Rfam family "Bacterial small subunit ribosomal RNA", at positions 355 to 895 of the family's 1533-position model. The record is from RNAcentral.
UGGGGAAUAUUGGACAAUGGGGGGAACCCUGAUCCAGCCAUGCCGCGUGUGUGAAGAAGGCCUUAUGGUUGUAAAGCACUUUUAAGCGAGGAGGAGGCUACUAGUAUUAAUACUACUGGAUAGUGGACGUUACUCGCAGAAUAAGCACCGGCUAACUCUGUGCCAGCAGCCGCGGUAAUACAGAGGGUGCGAGCGUUAAUCGGAUUUACUGGGCGUAAAGCGUGCGUAGGCGGCCAUUUAAGUCAAAGUGAAAUCCCCGAGCUUAACUUGGGAAUUGCAUUCGAUACUGGAUGGCNAGAGUAUGGGAGAGGAUGGUAGAAUUCCAGGUGUAGCGGUGAAAUGCGUAGAGAUCUGGAGGAAUACCGAUGGCGAAGGCAGCCAUCUGGCCUAAUACUGACGCUGAGGUACGAAAGCAUGGGGAGCAAACAGGAUUAGAUACCCUGGUAGUCCAUGCCGUAAACGAUGUCUACUAGCCGUUGGGGCCUUUGAGGCUUUAGUGGCGCAGCUAACGCGAUAAGUAGACCGCCUGGGGAGUACGGUCGCAAGACU